CACCACCGGCGGACGGCUCAGUAACACGUCGGUAACCUACCCUCGGGAGGGGGAUAACCCCGGGAAACUGGGGCUAAUCCCCCAUAGGCCUGAGGUACUGGAAGGUCCUCAGGCCGAAAGGGGCUUUUGCCCGCCCGAGGAUGGGCCGGCGGCCGAUUAGGUAGUUGGUGGGGUAACGGCCCACCAAGCCGAAGAUCGGUACGGGCUGUGAGAGCAGGAGCCCGGAGAUGGACACUGAGACACGGGUCCAGGCCCUACGGGGCGCAGCAGGCGCGAAACCUCCGCAAUGCGGGAAACCGCGACGGGGGGACCCCGAGUGCCGUGGCACCGCCACGGCUUUUCCGGAGUGUAAAAAGCUCCGGGAAUAAGGGCUGGGCAAGGCCGGUGGCAGCCGCCGCGGUAAUACCGGCGGCCCGAGUGGUGGCCGCUAUUAUUGGGCCUAAAGCGUCCGUAGCCGGGCCCGUAAGUCCCUGGCGAAAUCCCACGGCUCAACCGUGGGGCUUGCUGGGGAUACUGCGGGCCUUGGGACCGGGAGAGGCGGGGGGUACCCCUGGGGUAGGGGUGAAAUCCUAUAAUCCCAGGGGGACCGCCAGUGGCGAAAGCGCCCCGCUGGAACGGGUCCGACGGUGAGGGACGAACGCCAGGGGAGCAAACCGGAUUAGAUACCCGGGUAGUCCUGGCUGUAAAGGAUGCGGGCUAGGUGUCGGGUGAGCUUCGAGCUCGCCCGGUGCCGUAGGGAAGCCGUUAAGCCC
This 752-nucleotide ribosomal RNA is filed under the name uncultured archaeon. RNAcentral describes it as "bacterial SSU rRNA". It matches the Rfam family "Archaeal small subunit ribosomal RNA", at positions 73 to 822 of the family's 1478-position model. The record is from RNAcentral.